RNAcentral lists this ribosomal RNA (685 nucleotides) under uncultured bacterium. Its description in RNAcentral is "bacterial SSU rRNA". It matches the Rfam family "Bacterial small subunit ribosomal RNA", at positions 143 to 845 of the family's 1533-position model. The record is from RNAcentral.
AUAACAGUUAGAAAUGACUGCUAAUACCGCAUAAGCGCACAGGACCGCAUGGUCCGGUGUGAAAAACUCCGGUGGUAUGGGAUGGAUCCGCGUCUGAUUAGCUGGUUGGUGAGGUAACGGCCCACCAAGGCGACGAUCAGUAGCCGACCUGAGAGGGUGGCCGGCCACAUUGGGACUGAGACACGGCCCAAACUCCUACGGGAGGCAGCAGUGGGGAAUAUUGCACAAUGGGGGGAACCCUGAUGCAGCAACGCCGCGUGAGUGAAGAAGUAUUUCGGUAUGUAAAGCUCUAUCAGCAGGGAAGAAGAAAGACGGUACCUGACUAAGAAGCCCCGGCUAACUACGUGCCAGCAGCCGCGGUAAUACGUAGGGGGCAAGCGUUAUCCGGAUUUACUGGGUGUAAAGGGAGCGUAGACGGCUGUGCAAGUCUGAAGUGAAAGCCCGUGGCUCAACCGCGGAACUGCUUUGGAAACUGUAUAGCUUGAGUACUGGAGAGGCAGGCGGAAUUCCUAGUGUAGCGGUGAAAUGCGUAGAUAUUAGGAGGAACACCAGUGGCGAAGGCGGCCUGCUGGACAGAAACUGACGUUGAGGCUCGAAAGCGUGGGGAGCAAACAGGAUUAGAUACCCUGGUAGUCCACGCGGUAAACGAUGAAUGCUAGGUGUUGGGGAGCAAAGCUCUUCGGUG